Long non-coding RNA from Vespa mandarinia (Asian giant hornet), 670 nucleotides. Lineage: Eukaryota; Metazoa; Arthropoda; Insecta; Hymenoptera; Vespidae. The record is from RefSeq and is a predicted model, not a curated record.
CCAGCAACCGUACGGAUCGGUCACGUUCCUCUUUCUUUUUGAUUAUACGUAUUAUACUCACAUUUAAAGAUUAAAUCCCGACCGCUAAGCUGGAAAACCAAUACACAUAUAUACACACAACAUGCGCGUGCCAACAGAGAGAAAGAGAGAGAGAGAGAGAGAGAGAGAGAGAGAGAGAAAGAGAGAGAUUGAAUGCAACGAAUUGAAUCGACCAUCUGGUCUGACGGAAAAUCCCGAAGGAUUCGAUACCCCGGAUGGUUUCCGUUUUCCGAGUUAGAACGAGAACCACCGAAAACCACUCGAACCGGAGAUGAUCAGGCUAAUCGAGAGAAGCAGAUUUUCGUAUUCGGCAAAGUGUCCUACCGUAAAAAUUUCUUUGGCAAAAGCUUCCCUUUGACGACGAUUCGCGAGUAUCAACGACGUUCCACCUCGUCGAAUAAUUUACGUCUCUCUGGGCGAUCGUCUUAUCGAUCGAAUCCUAUUGUUAGAAAGAGAGAGAGAGAGAGAGAGAGAGAGAUGAGACGAGAGUGGGUGGCUGAAAGAGGGCAGAGAGGAAGAGAGAGAGAGAGAGAUGUUACGAUGGAAUAAAAUAAAUUCGAUUUCAUUCUUCUCGUUAUAAGAUUCAAGAGGACGCGUAUCUCUUUCAUUGAUCAAAUUUGAAAAAGUUACU